This is an RNA transcript of Papaver somniferum (opium poppy), 1846 nucleotides long. It is a transcript of the gene named trihelix transcription factor ASIL1-like, with no coding region annotated. The transcript is spliced from 3 exons. The record is from RefSeq and is a predicted model, not a curated record. Lineage: Eukaryota; Viridiplantae; Streptophyta; Magnoliopsida; Ranunculales; Papaveraceae.
UGUGACGGACAGUAGCUGAAAAAGUGCACAGGGAUGGGAUUCUUGUUUACUUUUCUUCUUUCUUCUCACUAUCACCAGAAAAAUACCCAUAAUCAAAUCACCAGAAACCCUAGCUGAUUAACUUCUUUUUCUUAGGGGUUUCUCUAGUUUUCUUGUACUUGCUAAAGGGUUUCAUUUUUUUUCUUCGAUGAUUUUGUCUUUCAAGAAAAAAAGAGGGAUAAGUUAGGGUUUCUCUUACUCAAAGGUACGAUUUUUUUUUUUGGUUAAUUAGGCUUGUUUGAGCUGAGAGAUUAGGGUUUUUUGAGAAGGAAAGUCUGGGUUUUGAAAGAAUUUCUGUUUGAGUUAUGGAUCGGGGAGAAAUGAAUGAUGCAGAAGAGGAAGCUAGGUAUCCUUAUGAUGAGCAGGAGGGUGAUGAAUAUGAAGAAGGUGGUGAUGAUGGUGAAGAAGAAGUAGAAGAGGAAGAUGAGGGUGAGGAAGUGGAGGUUGUGGGGGAGGAGGAGGAAGAAGAAGAAAAUGUUGUUCAAAGGGUAAAGGAAGAAGUUGAGGAAGUAGAUGAACAAGAGCAACUGCAACAAGAUCAUGCUGGUGGUGAUGAUGAUGAUUACGAGGAGGAGGAUGAGGAUGACACUGAUGACGACGACGAGGAUGAUAAUGUUGAUGGAGGUGGUAAUGAUAAUGGGAUGGAUGACGAUGAGGAUUCAGAAAGGAAUGGUAAAAAGCGAAAAUUGAAGGAUUUGUCAUUAAGCUAUGAGUUUGCUCCGCGUGUAGUAGUACCGCAGCCAUCUGCAAUUGCAAUGUCUGUUCCAAAAUCUUCGUAUGGUGGCCGGAAGAAUGCUGCAGCUGAUUGGACUGAACAUGCAACAUUUGUUCUGUUAGAUACUUGGGGAGAUAAAUUUCUUCAGCUUGGAAGGAAAAGUCUUCGGCUAGAUGAAUGGAUUGAAGUGGCUAAGAAGGUUUCAUUGCUAUCGAAUGUUGUAAGAACUGAUACUCAAUGUCGCAACCGGUUGGAUACAUUGAAGAAGAAAUACAAGAAGGAAAAACUCAAGAUAGAGGAAACUGGCAAUAAUAAUAGUUCCUGUAAGUGGGUUUACUUUAAGAAGAUGGAUAUGUUGAUGAAUGUAUCUCCAAGGCAGCCUGGAUUAGCUUGUGGCAUGGAUUCUCGUGAGUACGUGUUUACGAAUCCUAGGGUUUAUUUGAAUCACUCGAAUGGAUUGGAUGAGAUGAGGGACAGUCCAGGGAACUCUGAAUCAACAGAAGCCGAUGAUGAUAAUUCGGAUGGCCUUCCUCCUAAAAAAGCAAGAUAUGUGGAGAAUGGCGUUGAGAGAUCUUCCUUUAGGUUGCUAGCAGAUUCUAUUAAGAAAUUUGGUGAUAUUCACGCAAAAAUUGAGAAUAGUAAGAGGCAGCAAAUGUUAGAAUUGGAGAAGAUGAGAAUGGAGUUUCAUAGAGAUUUAGAAUUGCAUAGGAGGAAAAUUUUGGAGCGAGCCCAAGCAGAGAUAGCAAAAAUGAGGGAUGAAGAUGACGAGGAGUUUGGUGGAAGCGCUUCCACCGGGGAUAUGAGCGACUGAUAUUGUCUUUAUUUUUUGAGCUCAUGUUUGCUUCUACUGAUCAUAUAAACAAGAGGACUGUAGGACAAUAUGCGGAAGAAAUCACUUUGUUGCAGAGAUGCUUUGGCAACAAUCUUAAGUUUACUGUACUAUGUAUUCAUUAUCGAAGUCCUAGUACUAGUAAAUUAUCAACAUGUUGUAGUAAAAGUUGAAGUUUGGGAGCCUCCCUGACGUUUUCUCUGUCUGCAUUGUUCUUUAUUUGAAUUCAUUUUCCAUGUAGUGCUACCUGCCGUUACCCCUUC